UCCAAAAUGCCUGGGGGGCCAGGAAAGCCUUGGACAAGAACAACCGCCAGAGGGCAGGGAGCACAGGCCUGAGGCCUGUUGGCCAGACUGCAGCCCGUGGGGCCCAGGGAUCUUCCUGGCCAGCUGAGGAUUUGAAAAGUGUAUGUUUGGGAGCAGGAAACCUUCAGACAAGACCUUCCUCCAGAGGGAGGAACGCAGUCCUGAGGCCUGUAUGACAGGCUGCAGCCUGUGGGGCCCAGUGUGUUUCCCCACCCCCUCGCUCCCCCAACCCUGGGAGUGAGCAGGAGAUUGGAUCCAGGAGCUGAAGCUGGGGACGACAGAGAGACAGAGAGAAUUAAAUCACUUCUGCCGCGAG
This is a long non-coding RNA of Chiloscyllium plagiosum (whitespotted bambooshark), 355 nucleotides long. RefSeq lists it as uncharacterized. Lineage: Eukaryota; Metazoa; Chordata; Chondrichthyes; Orectolobiformes; Hemiscylliidae. The record is from RefSeq and is a predicted model, not a curated record.